CAGUCGCCGCGGGAACACGUAGGUGGCAAGCGUUGUCCGGAAUUAUUGGGCGUAAAGGGCUCGCAGGCGGUUUCUUAAGUCUGAUGUGAAAGCCCCCGGCUCAACCGGGGAGGGUCAUUGGAAACUGGGAAACUUGAGUGCAGAAGAGGAGAGUGGAAUCCCACGUGUAGCGGUGAAAUGCGUAGAGAUGUGGAGGAACACCAGUGGCGAAGGCGACUCUCUGGUCUGUAACUGACGCUGAGGAGCGAAAGCGUGGGGAGCGAACAGGAUUAGAUACCCGCGAGUCCCUGUCUCUUAUACA
Molecule: ribosomal RNA, 301 nt
Filed under: uncultured bacterium
Lineage: Bacteria
Description: partial 16S ribosomal RNA
Rfam family: Bacterial small subunit ribosomal RNA
Source: RNAcentral